This is a long non-coding RNA of Cyclopterus lumpus (lumpfish), 1095 nucleotides long. RefSeq lists it as uncharacterized. Lineage: Eukaryota; Metazoa; Chordata; Actinopteri; Perciformes; Cyclopteridae. The record is from RefSeq and is a predicted model, not a curated record. The transcript has 3 exons.
GCCAGCACCGUUGGCUCGGAGCUUGUGGAUACUAGCUUGCCUUCUUCUCUUGUUGAUUUCGCAGAAACGGACAGGGAGCAGGGCCGGGAGACGGGUCGUCAGUGAGCGGAGCUGCUUUCUUAAAGGGGCCGUAUGCGGGAGACACGCGCACCGCGUCACCGCCGCUGCCAAUAUCACGGAGGGAUGAAUUAUGAAACACGUAAUAGCAGCCAGGAGUCUUCGCUGAAGUCCCCGCUGUCCCUCUAAAUCAGAAAUGGUGUUUCCGAGAGGUGAUACGGCCUUGAGGGGUGCUGUGAACGGGCUGCCUCUCGUUGUUCCACUUGGGCUUGACUUCGAUGUCGUCGUCCUCGCUGUCGGAGGAGUGAGAAGAGGCGUAGGAGGAGCUGUGUUCGUCGACUGACAGCUCACUGUCUGAGUCCGAGUCUGACGGGGGACAAGGAGGGAAGGAGGACGGCACAAAGAUGAACUUCUAUGAAUGAAAUGCACCCAGGCAUUCAUUUUUCCAUGCAGGCAAAUUUAUGAGAGGUUUUGAUUCAUCCAUUCAGUGAAAACCCACCAUCUCCCUUGGUGCCGUUUCUGUGGAACAGAGUUCCAUCCAGAUCCGUGUGUCCUUUCGCGUUUCCUGAGGAGACACUGGGCUUCUGACCAGACUCCUCUCUACGUAGAUAGAGUCAGAUGCAGGAGGAGGGAAGGAAUGGGAAGAGUAAAUAAAUGUGAGUGGAAAAGAAGAGGUGGAGAUCAAGAGGAGAGAGAGAGAAAGAGGAGGGGGGAAUACAGCGUCGCUGGAAGUUAACUCAAGCCACAACUCAAGGUUUUGACGCUAAUGUUUAACAGCUGAAACACCAGACAGAUCUCUCAUCACAAAACAUUUGCCUCUAUUGGCGUCAACAAAGACUAAAACACAUAUUACAUUGUGGUUUAGGCGUGCUUGCAUCAGGUUAAAGUCAAACUGGCAGCUUGAUCACCAAAAGAAAUGUAAAAAAAAAAUGUCUACCACAAAAAAUGUAUUGAAGGGUAAUACUUGCUCAUUGCUAAAUUGCUGCAAUAACCUCCUCUGCUCUCCACCUGAAGCUGUUUAUCCCAAGUUGGGUUGAG